RNAcentral lists this long non-coding RNA (394 nucleotides) under Chloebia gouldiae (Gouldian finch). RNAcentral describes it as "Erythrura gouldiae (Gouldian finch) lncRNA (ENSEGOG00005001877.1)". The record is from RNAcentral. Lineage: Eukaryota; Metazoa; Chordata; Aves; Passeriformes; Passeridae.
CUACUACUGGGAGGUGAAAAAGCAGGUUUCAGCAUUAAGGCUGUUGGACACAUUAAAGAGCAAUCUACACUCACAGCUCAGUAUUUAAGGCAUAUGCAGAACUUCAGCAUUAAUUACAUAUUUUAAACUCGGUUUACUUUGCCUGUAGUGAUGAACUACUGUGAUAGUUUGAUUUUUAUGAUUUGUAUGAAGCAGGAAGCUUUCAAAGCCAUGUGUCAAAGAGGAAAUAGAGCAAAGAUACACCACAGCAGAGAAAGCUAGCAGGACAAAGGAGAUACUAUUGACUCAUUCCAGACUGCCGACUUAGCAGCUCAACUUUGUUUCUUUUUAACUUUUGUAACAGUAGGAGCUCAAAGCCUCUCAGUCUAUUUUUUCCACAAAUAGAAACACCCUG